GUUUUACGAAAAGCUCUAGAAAUUCGAAAACAAUCGUUAGGUCCAAAUCAUGUUGAUGUUGCUCAGUCUUUAAACAAUCUUGGUUUGGUGUAUUAAAAAACUGGAAACUACGACAAAGCUAAAGAGUUUUACGAAAAAGCUCUGGAAAUUCGAGAAAAAUCGUUAGGUCCAAAUCAUGUUGAUGUUGCUCAGUCUUUAAACAAUCUAGGUAAUGUGCUUAAAAAAACUAGAAACUACGAUAAAGCUAUAAAAUUUCACGAAAAAGCUCUGGAAAUUCGAGAAAAAUCGUUAGGUCCAAAUCAUGUUGAUGUUGCUCAGUCUUUACACAACCUUGGUUUGGUGUAUUACAAAACUGGAAACUACGACAAAGCUAAAGAGUUU
Xenia sp. Carnegie-2017 is the source of this 381-nucleotide long non-coding RNA. RefSeq lists it as uncharacterized. Lineage: Eukaryota; Metazoa; Cnidaria; Anthozoa; Malacalcyonacea; Xeniidae. The transcript has 2 exons. The record is from RefSeq and is a predicted model, not a curated record.